Molecule: ribosomal RNA, 246 nt
Filed under: uncultured bacterium
Lineage: Bacteria
Description: partial 16S ribosomal RNA
Rfam family: Bacterial small subunit ribosomal RNA
Source: RNAcentral
GAUCCUGGCUCAGAUUGAACGCUGGCGGCAGGCCUAACACAUACAAGUCGAACGGUAACAGGAAGCAGCUUGCUGCUUCGCUGACGAGUGGCGGACGGGUGAGUAAUGUCUGGGAAACUGCCUGAUGGAGGGGGAUAACUACUGGAAACGGUAGCUAAUACCGCAUAACGUCGCAAGACCAAAGAGGGGGACCUUCGGACCUCUUGCCAUCGGAUGUGCCCAGAUGGGAUUAGCUAGUAGGUGGGG